This 1061-nucleotide ribosomal RNA is filed under the name Ornithodoros tholozani. RNAcentral describes it as "SSU rRNA". It matches the Rfam family "Eukaryotic small subunit ribosomal RNA", at positions 287 to 1350 of the family's 1831-position model. The record is from RNAcentral. Lineage: Eukaryota; Metazoa; Arthropoda; Arachnida; Ixodida; Argasidae.
GCGACGCUUCUUUCAAGUGUCUGCCUUAUCAACUGUCGAUGGUAGGUUAUGCGCCUACCAUGGUUGUCACGGGUAACGGAGAAUCAGGGUUCGGUUCCGGAGAGGGAGCCUGAGAAACGGCUACCACAUCCAAGGAAGGCAGCAGGCGCGCAAAUUACCCACUCCCGGCACGGGGAGGUAGUGACGAAAAAUAACAAUACGGGACUCUUUUGAGGCCCCGUAAUUGAAAUGAGUACACUCUAAAUCCUUUAACGAGGAUCAAUUGGAGGGCAAGUCUGGUGCCAGCAGCCGCGGUAAUUCCAGCUCCAAUAGCGUAUGCUAAAGUUGCUGCGGUUAAAAAGCUCGUAGUUGGAUCUCAGUUCCAGUCGGGUGGUGCAUCUAACCGAUGCGACAGCCCGGGCUGAACAUCAUGCCUACCUUCCUCUGGUGUCCUUCACUGGAUGCCUCUGGGUGGUAGGUGCAUUUACUUUGAAAAAAUUAGAGUGCUCAACGCAGGCGCAUUGCCUGAAUACUCACGCAUGGAAUAAUGGAAUAAGACCUCGUUUCUGUUCUGUUGGUUUUUGGAAAACGAGAUAAUGAUCGAGAGGGACAGACGGGGGCAUUCGUAUUGCGGCGCUAGAGGUGAAAUUCUUGGACCGUCGCAAGACGAACUACUGCGAAAGCAUUUGCCAAGAAUGUUUUCAUUGAUCAAGAACGAAAGUCAGAGGUUCGAAGGCGAUCAGAUACCGCCCUAGUUCUGACCAUAAACGAUGCCAACCAGCAAUCCGCCUGAGUUACUCAAAUGACUCGGCGGGCAGCUUCCGGGAAACCAAAGUAUUUGGGUUCCGGGGGAAGUAUGGUUGCAAAGCUGAAACUUAAAGGAAUUGACGGAAGGGCACCACCAGGAGUGGAGCCUGCGGCUUAAUUUGACUCAACACGGGAAAACUUACCCGGCCCGGACACUGGAAGGAUUGACAGAUUGAGAGCUCUUUCUUGAUUCGGUGGAUGGUGGUGCAUGGCCGUUCUUAGUUGGUGGAGCGAUUUGUCUGGUUAAUUCCGAUAACGAACGAGACUCCAGCCUA